Molecule: ribosomal RNA, 808 nt
Filed under: uncultured Actinomycetes bacterium
Lineage: Bacteria; Bacillati; Actinomycetota; Actinomycetes
Description: bacterial SSU rRNA
Rfam family: Bacterial small subunit ribosomal RNA
Source: RNAcentral
AGUCGAACGCGAAAGCCUCCUUCGGGGGGCAAGUAGAGUGGCGCACGGGUGAGUAACACGUAGGUAAUCUACCUUUGGAUUGGGAAUAACAACCGGAAACGGUUGCUAAUACCGAAUAAUGCAGCGGCACCUAAUGGUGACAGUUGUUAAAGCGGGGGAUCGCAAGACCUCGCGUCUGAAGAGGAGCCUGCGGCAGAUUAGCUAGUUGGUAAGGUAACGGCUUACCAAGGCGAUGAUCUGUAGCCGGCCUGAGAGGGCGGUCGGCCACACUGACACUGACAUACGGGUCAGACUCCUACGGGAGGCAGCAGUCGGGAAUUUUGGGCAAUGGGCGAAAGCCUGACCCAGCAACGCCGCGUGAAGGAUGAAAUCCUUCGGGAUGUAAACUUCGCAAGAACGGGAAGAAUAAGUAAGGGUUAAUAUCUCUUACGAUGACGGUACUGUUUGUAAGCUCCGGCUAACUCCGUGCCAGCAGCCGCGGUAAUACGGGGGGAGCAAGCGUUGUUCGGAUUUACUGGGCGUAAAGGGCGCGUAGGCGGCCACCGCAAGUCGACUGUGAAAUCUCCGGGCUUAACCCGGAACGGUCAGCCGAUACUGCGGGGCUAGAGUGCAGAAGGGGCAACUGGAAUUCUCGGUGUAGCGGUGAAAUGCGUAGAUAUCGAGAGGAACACCUGCGGCGAAGGCGGGUUGCUGGGCUGACACUGACGCUGAGGCGCGAAAGCUAGGGGAGCGAACGGGAUUAGAUACCCCGGUAGUCCUAGCCUUAAACGAUGAAUGCUUGGUGUCUGGGGUUUUAUAGUCCCCGGGU